RNAcentral lists this ribosomal RNA (253 nucleotides) under uncultured bacterium. RNAcentral's name for it is "partial 16S ribosomal RNA". It matches the Rfam family "Bacterial small subunit ribosomal RNA", at positions 524 to 776 of the family's 1533-position model. The record is from RNAcentral.
UACGAAGGGUGCAAGCGUUACUCGGAAUUACUGGGCGUAAAGGGUGCGUAGGUGGUUUGUUAAGUCUGCUGUGAAAUCCCCGGGCUCAACCUGGGAAUGGCAGUGGAUACUGGCAAGCUAGAGUGCGGUAGAGGGUAGUGGAAUUCCCGGUGUAGCAGUGCAAUGCGUAGAGAUCGGGAGGAACACCAGUGGCGAAGGCGGCUACCUGGACCAGCACUGACACUGAAGCACGAAAGCGUGGGGAGCAAACAGG